Molecule: ribosomal RNA, 495 nt
Filed under: uncultured bacterium
Lineage: Bacteria
Description: partial 16S ribosomal RNA
Rfam family: Bacterial small subunit ribosomal RNA
Source: RNAcentral
GACGAACGCUGGCGGCGUGCCUAAUACAUGCAAGUAGAACGCUGAAGGAGGAGCUUGCUCUUCUGGAUGAGUUGCGAACGGGUGAGUAACGCGUAGGUAACCUGCCUGGUAGCGGGGGAUAACUAUUGGAAACGAUAGCUAAUACCGCAUAAGAGUAGAUGUUGCAUGACAUUUACUUAAAAGGUGCAAUUGCAUCACUACCAGAUGGACCUGCGUUGUAUUAGCUAGUUGGUGGGGUAACGGCUUACCAAGGCGACGAUACAUAGCCGACCUGAGAGGGGGAUCGGCCAGACUGGGAGUGAGACACGGCACAGACGCCUACGGGAGGGAGCAAGAGGGAAACGUGGGCAAUGGACGGAAAUCUGACCGAGCAACGCCGCGUGAGUGAAGAAGGAUGUCGGGUCGUAAAGCUCUGUUGUAAGGGAAGAAAGAGCGUGAGAGUGGAAAGUUCACACUGUGACGGUAACUUACCAGAAAGGGCCGGCUAACUACGUG